GUGUCAGCAGCCGCGGUAAUACGUAGGGGGCAAGCGUUGUCCGGAAUCAUUGGGCGUAAAGAGCGUGUAGGCGGCCUGGUAAGUCCGCUGUGAAAGUCCAGGGCUCAACCCUGGAAUGCCGGUGGAAACUGUCAGGCUCGAGUCCGGAAGAGGCGAGUGGAAUUCCUGGUGUAGCGGUGAAAUGCGCAGAUAUCAGGAGGAACACCAAUGGCGAAGGCAGCUCGCUGGGACGGUACUGACGCUGAGACGCGAAAGCGUGGGGAGCAAACAGGAUUAGAUACCCUGGUAGUCC
This 292-nucleotide ribosomal RNA is filed under the name uncultured bacterium. RNAcentral describes it as "partial 16S ribosomal RNA". It matches the Rfam family "Bacterial small subunit ribosomal RNA", at positions 505 to 796 of the family's 1533-position model. The record is from RNAcentral.